This is a long non-coding RNA of Cavia porcellus (domestic guinea pig), 1139 nucleotides long. RefSeq lists it as uncharacterized. NCBI's taxonomy places the organism in Eukaryota, Metazoa, Chordata, Mammalia, Rodentia, Caviidae. The record is from RefSeq and is a predicted model, not a curated record. The transcript is spliced from 2 exons.
AGUCCAAGGUGGGUAGGUCCUUGCACCCCCAGCCUGUUCAGCUUAUUCCUCCAGUUCCCUGCCUCCCUUUGAUGUCGGACAAACCCGGGUGGGGAGGAAGAGCGCCUGCCUCCCUGACCUGCCAACCUGCAGCGCACCGAGCCACGAGCCCCGCGUCUGCUCUGGGAGCCGUGCCAAGCCGAGCUAGCUAGGUACUCCGUGCUCGGAUCUGCCUUGCCGCUGCACCGCGCAGUCCCGAGCCGACCGCGGCCGCCCCGCCUUGCACUCUCUCAGCCCCGCCGGCCAGGAAGUCUCGGGGAGCCGGCACCGCGCUCCAGACCUCAGGUCCUGCAGCUCCGGGUGGAGCACACACCCGGGCCAUGGACUUAGCGAGCGCACCUUUGUGAGUACACACGCCGCGGGGGCAGGCGCACGGCCCCGCCGCCUGCAGACUGGAGCCCGGUGCGCGCUGGGGCCGCGACCCGGCUACGACCUCGCUCCCGCGCUCCCUGCCGCCUGGCGGCGUCGGGACGGGUCGUCCUCCCCUGACGAGGCCACGGGAGCCGGGCAGUAAGAGAGGAGUGCAGAGCGCCGGCGUGGGUCUGCAGCGGGGACUGCACUCCUCCGAGGUCAGGCAGAUCCUGUCCAAGCCGCAGAUUUAAUUGCCAUGUUAGACACCCUGCCUCCUUGCCCCACCUCCUGUUUUUACUGUAAACAGUGUUAGAGAUACUGUCCGGUUGUUGAAGAUAAACCGUAUCUCCCUUGACACCUUCGCGUCUUCUCAGGUUAUUGGCUGUUACCCACAGCCGGCCUCGUUGCCUGAAUAGAGCACUACUGGCGUUUUAAAUAAAAUCUCGAAUGCAGGGCCAAAGGCGGCGGAGACCUUAGCUCUUCCUCGGCCCUGCCCGAGCUCCUGGCUGCAGGUCCCUGGAGAUGGGACGCUGGCCGACUUUCCUUUGCUGCUUGUUAGGAAAAUUUUGGUGACAUUAUGUUUUUGUAUAUCGGUCUGAUAUUUUUCUGGGCACCUCCUCAACGCCUAGGAAAAAGCCUUGGCAGAGGACUGGGAAGAUCUUCAGAAGCAAAUGGAUGGCGAAGUCUCUUUCCUCCAGUUGUUUCAUUUGUAGAUCUUGUUAAAAAUAAAACUAAUUUUAAAACAUGAA